AAACCAGCACCUCAAGUGGUCAGGAGGAUUAUUGGGCCUAAAGCAUCCGUAGCCUGCUCUAUAAGUUUCCGGUUAAAUCCAUUUGCUCAACAAAUGGGCUGCCGGAAAUACUGUAGAGCUAGGGAGUGGGAGAGGUAGACGGUACUCGGUAGGAAGGGGUAAAAUCCUUUGAUCUAUUGAUGACCACCUGUGGCGAAGGCGGUCUACCAGAACACGUUCGACGGUGAGGGAUGAAAGCUGGGGGAGCAAACCGGAUUAGAAACCCCAGUAGUCC
This 274-nucleotide ribosomal RNA is filed under the name uncultured bacterium. RNAcentral describes it as "partial 16S ribosomal RNA". It matches the Rfam family "Archaeal small subunit ribosomal RNA", at positions 473 to 747 of the family's 1478-position model. The record is from RNAcentral.